This 497-nucleotide ribosomal RNA is filed under the name uncultured bacterium. RNAcentral's name for it is "partial 16S ribosomal RNA". It matches the Rfam family "Bacterial small subunit ribosomal RNA", at positions 28 to 507 of the family's 1533-position model. The record is from RNAcentral.
GACGAACGCUGGCGGCGUGCCUAAUACAUGCAAGUUGAGCGCUGAAGGUUGGUACUUGUACCGACUGGAUGAGCAGCGAACGGGUGAGUAACGCGUGGGUAAUCUGCCUUUGAGCGGGGGACAACAUUUGGAAACGAAUGCUAAUACCGCAUAAAAACUUUAAACACAAGUUUUAAGUUUGAAAGAUGCAAUUGCAUCACUCAAAGAUGAUCCCGCGUUGUAUUAGCUAGUUGGUGAGGUAAAGGCUCACCAAGGCGAUGAUAGAUAGCCGAACUGAGAGGGUGAUCGGCCAAAUUGGGAAUGAGACACGGCCCAAACUCCUACGGGAGGCAGCAGGAGGGAAUCUUCGGCAAUGGACGAAAGUCUGACCGAGCAACGCCGCGUGAGUGAAGAAGGUUUUCGGAUCGUAAAACUCUGUUGGUAGAGAAGAACGUUGGUGAGAGUGGAAAGCUCAUCAAGUGACGGUAACUACCCAGAAAGGGACGGCUAACUACGUG